UACGGGGGGGGCAAGCGUUGUUCGGAAUUACUGGGCGUAAAGGGCUCGUAGGCGGCCAACUAAGUCGGAUGUGAAAUCCCCAGGCUUAACCUGGGAAUUGCAUCCGAUACUGGAUGGCUUGAAUCCGGGAGAGGGAUGCGGAAUUCCAGGUGUAGCGGUGAAAUGCGUAGAUAUCUGGAGGAACACCGGUGGCGAAGGCGGCAUCCUGGACCGGCAUUGACGCUGAGGAGCGAAAGCCAGGGGAGCAAACGGG
Molecule: ribosomal RNA, 253 nt
Filed under: uncultured bacterium
Lineage: Bacteria
Description: partial 16S ribosomal RNA
Rfam family: Bacterial small subunit ribosomal RNA
Source: RNAcentral